Molecule: ribosomal RNA, 253 nt
Filed under: uncultured bacterium
Lineage: Bacteria
Description: partial 16S ribosomal RNA
Rfam family: Bacterial small subunit ribosomal RNA
Source: RNAcentral
UACGUAGGGCGCAAGCGUUGUCCGGAAUUAUUGGGCGUAAAGAGCUCGUAGGCGGUCUGUCGCGUCUGCUGUGAAAAUCCGGGGCUCAACCCCGGACUUGCAGUGGGUACGGGCAGACUAGAGUGUGGUAGGGGAGACUGGAAUUCCUGGUGUAGCGGUGAAAUGCGCAGAUAUCAGGAGGAACACCGAUGGCGAAGGCAGGUCUCUGGGCCACUACUGACGCUGAGAAGCGAAAGCAUGGGGAGCGAACAGG